UCUCCUAAAAAGAGGACUUCCUCUGUGAUGCACCCUGUGUCUGAUGAUAUAUAUACUGUGGAUUUAGGAUUGAACAGGGCUUCUUCUCGACAUGAUCCAGUGAAGCUGGUGACGUUUCCAGGCAGAACCCCAGAGACUCUCUGUGGUGUCUGUGGCAGGGGGUGUGGCUGGCUUCCUCACUUCAGCAAACAAGGCACACCUGCAAUCACUCACCCAUCAUCCACUCCAUAAAAGCCUGGUCCCGACUCCACUACUAUGCCAGAUAAUUCCGUCUUGUUCGACUCCUCGGUGUGCCUUGUUGCUGCUCCUCGGUUUUUUCGUUUUCCCUCCUGCGUUUCCCCCCUGGAUUAUUCGGCCAGCCAGCACCCUGCCUCCACAGCCUGCCUGCUCUGUUUUCUGGUGUUAAAAUAAACUUUACUCAACACUAGACUGCUCUCAGUGUCUGCUUUGGGGUCCAACCAAAGAACCACCCGUAACAGAAUUAUCUGGCCAAAAUGGACCCCGCAGACGCAGAUAAAUUUAGACAGGCUCUUUCGAACCACGGAGUUCGCAUGGGUCAGCACGAGACGGCUCUACAAGAGAUUAUGGAGGCGCUCCAGAAUCUCUCCUCUAAUGUGACACAAGUCGGUGGCCGCUUGGACCAGCUGUCUACUCACCUCACCACGACGGUUCCCGUCCACCUUCCAGCUCCGGUUCCAGCUCCUGCUCCUGUACCACCAGCUCUUCCCAUCGCUCAUUCUGCACAACCCCGGGAACCCUUCAUCCCCACG
Long non-coding RNA from Pleuronectes platessa (European plaice), 770 nucleotides. RefSeq lists it as uncharacterized. The record is from RefSeq and is a predicted model, not a curated record. The transcript has 3 exons. NCBI's taxonomy places the organism in Eukaryota, Metazoa, Chordata, Actinopteri, Pleuronectiformes, Pleuronectidae.